Molecule: long non-coding RNA, 399 nt
Organism: Symphalangus syndactylus (siamang)
Lineage: Eukaryota; Metazoa; Chordata; Mammalia; Primates; Hylobatidae
Source: RefSeq, a predicted model, not a curated record
CGCUAAUCGGAGAGGGUGCGGAAACGCGGGAGGAGAAUUCAAGUAAUGGCGCCAGCGAUAGAAGCCUGCGGAUACGGAGAAACUGCAUCUUCGCGUGACUUUGGGCGCUGUUCCUCGCGCUCUGGUCAGCGAGCACUUAAUCAGAAAGUCCACCCUCUGGAGGCAGCUAUUACAAGUGCUUCGUCUCUCUUUAUCGCCCAUCAGCACCAGCGGUUUGGCUAACUGACAUAAUGAAAUGUUAGAAAUAGAUUCUCAUUGGUGAGAUUAACAGCAUUCAAGAUAAUGCGGAUUGGCUGGGAUAUGUCAGACACUCUCCUAGCUUGCAUGAACAGGAUAUUGAGAAUCUAGCAAGCCUUGGUACCUAUAGCCAUAGGAAAUAAAACCAUACCUUUGAUCUUA